CGCCCCUGACAAUGCUCCAAGAGACACCUUGGUGGUGGUGGUGUUCUUAUAUCAGUGAAAGGCAGAGCAACAGCAGUCCUUUGUUCAUCCUAGCUUAAUGCCUUGUUUGGUGGCCAAAACUGUCUUAUGCCUAGGACUCAUAA
Acomys russatus (golden spiny mouse) is the source of this 143-nucleotide small nucleolar RNA. RefSeq annotates it as small nucleolar RNA SNORA48. NCBI's taxonomy places the organism in Eukaryota, Metazoa, Chordata, Mammalia, Rodentia, Muridae. The transcript has a single exon. The record is from RefSeq and is a predicted model, not a curated record.